This 450-nucleotide ribosomal RNA is filed under the name uncultured bacterium. Its description in RNAcentral is "partial 16S ribosomal RNA". It matches the Rfam family "Bacterial small subunit ribosomal RNA", at positions 354 to 796 of the family's 1533-position model. The record is from RNAcentral.
GUUAGGAAUAUUGGACAAUGGGCGAAAGCCUGAUCCAGCAAUGCCGCGUGUGUGAAGAAGGCCUUCGGGUUGUAAAGCACUUUUGGCAGGGAAGAAACAGUGCGUGCUAAUACCAUGCGCGAAUGACGGUACCUGCAGAAUAAGCACCGGCUAACUACGUGCCAGCAGCCGCGGUAAUACGUAGGGUGCAAGCGUUAAUCGGAAUUACUGGGCGUAAAGCGUGCGCAGGCGGCUUUGUAAGACGGAUGUGAAAGCCCCGGGCUCAACCUGGGAAGUGCAUUCGUGACUGCAAGGCUAGAGUGUGUCAGAGGGAGGUGGAAUUCCGCGUGUAGCAGUGAAAUGCGUAGAGAUGCGGAGGAACACCGAUGGCGAAGGCAGCUACCUGGUCGAGUACUGACACUGAGACACGAAAGCAUGGGGAUCAAACAGGAUUAGAAACCCCGGUAGUCC